Molecule: ribosomal RNA, 415 nt
Filed under: uncultured crenarchaeote
Lineage: Archaea; Thermoproteati; Thermoproteota
Description: partial 16S ribosomal RNA
Rfam family: Archaeal small subunit ribosomal RNA
Source: RNAcentral
GUGCAGCAGUCGCGAAAACUCCGCAAUACACGAAAGUGUGACGGGGCUAUCCCGAGUGCCGUCCGCUGAGGAUGGCUUUUCCCCAGUGUAGAUAGCUGGGGGAAUAAGGAGAGGGCAAGUCUGGUGUCAGCCGCCGCGGUAAUACCAGCUCUUCGAGUGGUGGGGAUGUUUAUUGGGCCUGAAGCAUCCGUAGCCGGCUGAGCAAGUUCUCUGUUAAAUCCAGCGAUUUAAUCGUUGGAUUGCGGGGAAUACUGCUCGGCUUGGGGGCGGGAGAGGCCGUCGGUAUUCUUGGGGUAGGGGUAAAAUCUUAUAAUCCCAAGAGGACCACCAGUGGCGAAGGCUGUCGGCUAGAACGCGCCCGACGGUGAGGGAUGAAAGCUGGGGGAGCGAACCGGAUUAGAUACCCGGGUAGUCC